Long non-coding RNA from Oncorhynchus tshawytscha (Chinook salmon), 874 nucleotides. The record is from Ensembl. NCBI's taxonomy places the organism in Eukaryota, Metazoa, Chordata, Actinopteri, Salmoniformes, Salmonidae.
GGCUAUAUACAGGGUGUUACGGUACAGAGUCAAUGUGGAGGCUAUAUAGAGGGGGUACCAGUACAGAGUCAAUGUGGAGGCUAUAUACAGGGUGUUACGGUACAGAGUCAAUGUGGAGGCUAUAUACAGGGUGUUACGGUACAGAGUCAAUGUGGAGGCUAUAUAGAGGGGGUACCAGUACAGAGUCAAUGUGGAGGCUAUAUACAGGGUGUUACGGUACAGAGUCAAUGUGGAGGCUAUAUACAGGGGGUACCGGUACAGAGUCAAUGUGGAGGCUAUAUACAGGGUGUUACGGUACAGAGUCAAUGUGGAGGCUAUAUAGAGGGGGUACCAGUACAGAGUCAAUGUGGAGGCUAUAUACAGGGUGUUACGGUACAGAGUCAAUGUGGAGGCUAUAUACAGGGUGCUACGGUACAGAGUCAAUGUGGAGGCUAUAUACAGGGGGUACCGGUACAGAGUCAAUGUGGAGGCUAUAUACAGGGUGUUACGGUACAGAGUCAAUGUGGAGGCUAUAUACAGAGUGUUACGGUACAGAGUCAAUGUGGAGGCUAUAUACAGGGUGUUACGGUACAGAGUCAAUGUGGAGGCUAUAUACAGGGUGUUACGGUACAGAGUCAAUGUGGAGGCUAUAUACAGGGUGUUACGGUACAGAGUCAAUGUGGAGGCUAUAUACAGGGGGUACCGGUACAGAGUCAAUGUGGGGGCUAUAUACAGGGGGUACCGGUACAGAGUCAAUGUGGAGGCUAUAUACAGGGGGUACCGGUACAGAGUCAAUGUGCGGGGGCACCGGUGAGGUAAUAUGUACAUGUAGGUAGAGGUAUUAAAGUAACUGUGCAUAGAUAAUAACAAAGAGUAGCAGUGUAGAAGGGGGAGG